UUUUAAUUUGAGGYUGGUNUGAAAGGUCGGACGAAGGAUUGGCUGUUUCCAAGUAAAUAAUUAGAAUUUAACUUUUAAGUGAAAAGGCUUAAAUAUCCCAAAAAGACGAUAAGACCCUAUAAAUCUUAACAUAAAACCUUACACUAUCUUCAAUUAUUCUUAUAAAAGAAAGAGUAAUAAAUAUGUUCUGUUGGGGCAACAAAGAUAUAUAAAAAUAAACUGUUUUCAAACUCAAACAAAAAUCAUUGACCUUAAAUUGAUCCUUUUUCAAGAUUAAAAAACUAAGUUACUUUAGGGAUAACAGCGUUAUUCUUUUUGAGAGUUCUCAUCGAAAAAAGAGUUUGCGACCUCGAUGUUGAAUUAAAAAAUCU
RNAcentral lists this ribosomal RNA (371 nucleotides) under Calcinus aff. vachoni 2 MCDM-2009. Its description in RNAcentral is "partial 16S ribosomal RNA". The record is from RNAcentral. Lineage: Eukaryota; Metazoa; Arthropoda; Malacostraca; Decapoda; Diogenidae.